AUUGAACGCUGGCGGAAUGCUUUACACAUGCAAGUCGAACGGCAGCAUAGGUGCUUGCACCUGAUGGCGAGUGGCGAACGGGUGAGUAAUACAUCGGAACGUGCCCAGUCGUGGGGGAUAACGUAGCGAAAGUUACGCUAAUACCGCAUACGAUCUACGGAUGAAAGCGGGGGACCGUAAGGCCUCGCGCGAUUGGAGCGGCCGAUGUUAGAUUAGGUAGUUGGUGGGGUAAAGGCUCACCAAGCCGACGAUCUAUAGCUGGUCUGAGAGGAUGAUCAGCCACACUGGGACUGAGACACGGCCCAGACUCCUACGGGAGGCAGCAGUGGGGAAUUUUGGACAAUGGGCGCAAGCCUGAUCCAGCCAUUCCGCGUGCAGGACGAAGGCCUUCGGGUUGUAAACUGCUUUUGUACAGAACGAAAAGCCUUGGGUUAAUACCCUGGGGUCAUGACGGUACUGUAAGAAUAAGCACCGGCUAACUACGUGA
This 487-nucleotide ribosomal RNA is filed under the name uncultured bacterium. Its description in RNAcentral is "bacterial SSU rRNA". It matches the Rfam family "Bacterial small subunit ribosomal RNA", at positions 30 to 508 of the family's 1533-position model. The record is from RNAcentral.